GGGGAUGUGGCUCAGUGGUAGAGCGCUCGCUUUGCAUGUGAGAGGCCCCGGGUUCAAACCCCGGCAUCUCCA
RNAcentral lists this transfer RNA (72 nucleotides) under Pollicipes pollicipes. RNAcentral's name for it is "tRNA-Ala". It matches the Rfam family "tRNA". From Rfam's summary of the family: Transfer RNA (tRNA) molecules are approximately 80 nucleotides in length. Their secondary structure includes four short double-helical elements and three loops (D, anti-codon, and T loops). The record is from RNAcentral. Lineage: Eukaryota; Metazoa; Arthropoda; Thecostraca; Pollicipedomorpha; Pollicipedidae.